CUUAAAUGAAUUGACGGGGAGCACCACAACGGGUGGAGCUUGCGGUUUAAUUGGAUUCAACGCCGGAAAUCUUACCGGGACCGACAGCAAUAUGAAGGCCAGGCUGAAGACUUUGCCGGAUUAGCUGAGAGGUGGUGCAUGGCCGUCGUCAGUUCGUACUGUGAAGCAUCCUGUUAAGUCAGGCAACGAGCGAGACCCACGCCCACAGUUGCCAGCGUACUCUCUGGAGUGACGGGUACACUGUGGGACCGCCGCUGCUAAAGCGGAGGAAGGAAUGGGCAACGGUAGGUCAGUAUGCCCCGAAUAUCCCGGGCUACACGCGAGCUACAAUGGUUGGUACAAUGGGUAUCUACCCCGAAAGGGGACGGGAAUCUCCUAAAACCAAUCUUAGUUCGGAUUGAGGGCUGCAACUCGCCCUCAUGAAGCUGGAAUCCGUAGUAAUCGCGUUUCAACAGAACGCGGUGAAUACGUCCCUGCUCCUU
RNAcentral lists this ribosomal RNA (482 nucleotides) under uncultured Methanosaeta sp. RNAcentral's name for it is "bacterial SSU rRNA". It matches the Rfam family "Archaeal small subunit ribosomal RNA", at positions 855 to 1338 of the family's 1478-position model. Lineage: Archaea; Methanobacteriati; Methanobacteriota; Methanomicrobia; Methanotrichales; Methanotrichaceae. The record is from RNAcentral.